This 913-nucleotide ribosomal RNA is filed under the name uncultured bacterium. RNAcentral's name for it is "bacterial SSU rRNA". It matches the Rfam family "Bacterial small subunit ribosomal RNA", at positions 8 to 916 of the family's 1533-position model. The record is from RNAcentral.
AGAGUUUGAUUAUGGCUCAGAUUGAACGCUGGCGGCAGGCCUAACACAUGCAAGUCGAGCGGUAGAGAGAAGCUUGCUUCUCUUGAGAGCGGCGGACGGGUGAGUAAUGCCUAGGAAUCUGCCUGGUAGUGGGGGAUAACGUUCGGAAACGGACGCUAAUACCGCAUACGUCCUACGGGAGAAAGCAGGGGACCUUCGGGCCUUGCGCUAUCAGAUGAGCCUAGGUCGGAUUAGCUAGUUGGUGAGGUAAUGGCUCACCAAGGCGACGAUCCGUAACUGGUCUGAGAGGAUGAUCAGUCACACUGGAACUGAGACACGGUCCAGACUCCUACGGGAGGCAGCAGUGGGGAAUAUUGGACAAUGGGCGAAAGCCUGAUCCAGCCAUGCCGCGUGUGUGAAGAAGGUCUUCGGAUUGUAAAGCACUUUAAGUUGGGAGGAAGGGCAGUUACCUAAUACGUGAUUGUUUUGACGUUACCGACAGAAUAAGCACCGGCUAACUCUGUGCCAGCAGCCGCGGUAAUACAGAGGGUGCAAGCGUUAAUCGGAAUUACUGGGCGUAAAGCGCGCGUAGGUGGUUAGUUAAGUUGGAUGUGAAAUCCCCGGGCUCAACCUGGGAACUGCAUUCAAAACUGACUGACUAGAGUAUGGUAGAGGGUGGUGGAAUUUCCUGUGUAGCGGUGAAAUGCGUAGAUAUAGGAAGGAACACCAGUGGCGAAGGCGACCACCUGGACUGAUACUGACACUGAGGUGCGAAAGCGUGGGGAGCAAACAGGAUUAGAUACCCUGGUAGUCCACGCCGUAAACGAUGUCAACUAGCCCUUGGGAGCCUUGAGCUCUUAGUGGCGCAGCUAACGCAUUAAGUUGACCGCCUGGGGAGUACGGCCGCAAGGUUAAAACUCAAAUGAAUUGACGG